RNAcentral lists this ribosomal RNA (2912 nucleotides) under Klebsiella pneumoniae. RNAcentral describes it as "23S ribosomal RNA". It matches the Rfam family "Bacterial large subunit ribosomal RNA". Lineage: Bacteria; Pseudomonadati; Pseudomonadota; Gammaproteobacteria; Enterobacterales; Enterobacteriaceae. The record is from RNAcentral.
GGGUUGUGAGGUUAAGCGACUAAGCGUACACGGUGGAUGCCCCGCAGUCAGAGGCGAUGAAGGACGUGCUAAUCUGCGAAAAGCGUCGGUAAGGUGAUAUGAACCGUUAUAACCGGCGAUGUCCGAAUGGGGAAACCCAGUGCAAUUCGUUGCACUAUCGUUAACUGAAUACAUAGGUUAACGAGGCGAACCGGGGGAACUGAAACAUCUAAGUACCCCGAGGAAAAGAAAUCAACCGAGAUUCCCCCAGUAGCGGCGAGCGAACGGGGAGCAGCCCAGAGUCUGAAUCAGCUUGUGUGUUAGUGGAACGGUCUGGAAAGUCCGACGGUACAGGGUGAUAGUCCCGUACACCAAAAUGCACAGGCUGUGAACUCGAAGAGUAGGGCGGGACACGUGGUAUCCUGUCUGAAUAUGGGGACCAUCCUCCAAGGCUAAAUACUCCUGACUGACCGAUAGUGAACCAGUACCGUGAGGGAAAGGCGAAAAGAACCCCGGCGAGGGGAGUGAAAAGAACCUGAAACCGUGUACGUACAAGCAGUGGGAGCACCUUCGGGUGUGACUGCGUACCUUUGUAUAAUGGGUCAGCGACUUAUAUUCUGUAGCAAGGUUAACCGUAUAGGGGAGCCGCAGGGAAACCGAGUCUUAACUGGGCGUUAAGUUGCAGGGUAUAGACCCGAAACCCGGUGAUCUAGCCAUGGGCAGGUUGAAGGUUGGGUAACACUAACUGGAGGACCGAACCGACUAAUGUUGAAAAAUUAGCGGAUGACUUGUGGCUGGGGUGAAAGGCCAAUCAAACCGGGAGAUAGCUGGUUCUCCCCGAAAGCUAUUUAGGUAGCGCCUCGUGAACUCAUCUUCGGGGUAGAGCACUGUUUCGGCUAGGGGGUCAUCCCGACUUACCAACCCGAUGCAAACUACGAAUACCGAAGAAUGUUAUCACGGGAGACACACGGCGGGUGCUAACGUCCGUCGUGAAGAGGGAAACAACCCAGACCGCCAGCUAAGGUCCCAAAGUCAUGGUUAAGUGGGAAACGAUGUGGGAAGGCACAGACAGCCAGGAUGUUGGCUUAGAAGCAGCCAUCAUUUAAAGAAAGCGUAAUAGCUCACUGGUCGAGUCGGCCUGCGCGGAAGAUGUAACGGGGCUAAACCAUGCACCGAAGCUGCGGCAGCGACACUAUGUGUUGUUGGGUAGGGGAGCGUUCUGUAAGCCUGCGAAGGUGUGCUGUGAGGCAUGCUGGAGGUAUCAGAAGUGCGAAUGCUGACAUAAGUAACGAUAAAGCGGGUGAAAAGCCCGCUCGCCGGAAGACCAAGGGUUCCUGUCCAACGUUAAUCGGGGCAGGGUGAGUCGACCCUAAGGCGAGGCCGAAAGGCGUAGUCGAUGGGAAACAGGUUAAUAUUCCUGUACUUGGUGUUACUGCGAAGGGGGGACGGAGAAGGCUAUGUUAGCCGGGCGACGGUUGUCCCGGUUUAAGCAUGUAGGCUGAUUGUCCAGGCAAAUCCGGAUAAUCAAGGCUGAGGUGUGAUGACGAGGCACUACGGUGCUGAAGUAACAAAUGCCCUGCUUCCGUGAAAAGCCUCUAAGCAUCAGGUAACAUCAAAUCGUACCCCAAACCGACACAGGUGGUCAGGUAGAGAAUACCAAGGCGCUUGAGAGAACUCGGGUGAAGGAACUAGGCAAAAUGGUGCCGUAACUUCGGGAGAAGGCACGCUGGUGUGUAGGUGAAGUCCCUGCGGAUGGAGCUGAGACCAGUCGAAGAUACCAGCUGGCUGCAACUGUUUAUUAAAAACACAGCACUGUGCAAACACGAAAGUGGACGUAUACGGUGUGACGCCUGCCCGGUGCCGGAAGGUUAAUUGAUGGGGUUAUCCGUAAGGAGAAGCUCUUGAUCGAAGCCCCGGUAAACGGCGGCCGUAACUAUAACGGUCCUAAGGUAGCGAAAUUCCUUGUCGGGUAAGUUCCGACCUGCACGAAUGGCGUAAUGAUGGCGGGCUGUCUCCACCCGAGACUCAGUGAAAUUGAACUCGCUGUGAAGAUGCAGUGUACCCGCGGCAAGACGGAAAGACCCCGUGAACCUUUACUAUAGCUUGACACUGAACAUUGAGCCUUGAUGUGUAGGAUAGGUGGGAGGCUUUGAAGCGUGGACGCCAGUCUGCGUGGAGCCAACCUUGAAAUACCACCCUUUAAUGUUUGAUGUUCUAACGUUGGCCCCUGACCGGGGUUGCGGACAGUGUCUGGUGGGUAGUUUGACUGGGGCGGUCUCCUCCCAAAGCGUAACGGAGGAGCACGAAGGUUAGCUAAUCCUGGUCGGACAUCAGGAGGUUAGUGCAAUGGCAUAAGCUAGCUUGACUGCGAGCGUGACGGCGCGAGCAGGUGCGAAAGCAGGUCAUAGUGAUCCGGUGGUUCUGAAUGGAAGGGCCAUCGCUCAACGGAUAAAAGGUACUCCGGGGAUAACAGGCUGAUACCGCCCAAGAGUUCAUAUCGACGGCGGUGUUUGGCACCUCGAUGUCGGCUCAUCACAUCCUGGGGCUGAAGUAGGUCCCAAGGGUAUGGCUGUUCGCCAUUUAAAGUGGUACGCGAGCUGGGUUUAGAACGUCGUGAGACAGUUCGGUCCCUAUCUGCCGUGGGCGCUGGAGAAUUGAGGGGCUGCUCCUAGUACGAGAGGACCGGAGUGGACGCAUCACUGGUGUUCGGGUUGUCAUGCCAAUGGCACUGCCCGGUAGCUAAAUGCGGAAGAGAUAAGUGCUGAAAGCAUCUAAGCACGAAACUUGCCCCGAGAUGAGUUCUCCCUGAGACUUUAAGUCUCCUGAAGGAACGUUAAAGACGAUGACGUUGAUAGGCCGGGUGUGUAAGCGCAGCGAUGCGUUGAGCUAACCGGUACUAAUGAACCGUGAGGCUUAACCUUACAACGCCGAAG